This 435-nucleotide ribosomal RNA is filed under the name uncultured Myroides sp. RNAcentral describes it as "bacterial SSU rRNA". It matches the Rfam family "Bacterial small subunit ribosomal RNA", at positions 358 to 789 of the family's 1533-position model. The record is from RNAcentral. Lineage: Bacteria; Pseudomonadati; Bacteroidota; Flavobacteriia; Flavobacteriales; Flavobacteriaceae.
GGAAUAUUGGUCAAUGGAGGCAACUCUGAACCAGCCAUGCCGCGUGCAGGAAGACGGUCCUAUGGAUUGUAAACUGCUUUUAUACAGGAAUAAACCUAUCCUCGUGAGGAUAGCUGAAGGUACUGUAGGAAUAAGGAUCGGCUAACUCCGUGCCAGCAGCCGCGGUAAUACGGAGGAUCCAAGCGUUAUCCGGAAUCAUUGGGUUUAAAGGGUUCGUAGGCGGUUUAAUAAGUCAGUGGUGAAAUCUCCUAGCUUAACUAGGAAAUGGCCAUUGAUACUGUUAGACUUGAAUUAUUGGGAAGUAACUAGAAUAUGUAGUGUAGCGGUGAAAUGCUUAGAUAUUACAUGGAAUACCAAUUGCGAAGGCAGGUUACUAUCAAUACAUUGACGCUGAUGAACGAAAGCGUGGGUAGCGAACAGGAUUAGAUACCCCUG